GAUGAACGCUGGCGGCGUGCCUAAUACAUGCAAGUCGAGCGAACGGACGAGAAGCUUGCUUCUCUGAUGUUAGCGGCGGACGGGUGAGUAACACGUGGAUAACCUACCUAUAAGACUGGGAUAACUUCGGGAAACCGUAGCUAAUACCGGAUAAUAUUUUGAACCGCAUGGUUCAAAAGUGAAAGACGGUCUUGCUGUCACUUAUAGAUGGAUCCGCGCUGCAUUAGCUAGUUGGUAAGGUAACGGCUUACCAAGGCAACGAUGCAUAGCCGACCUGAGAGGGGGAUCGGCCGCACUGGAACUGAGACACGGUCCAGACUCCUACGGGACGCAGCAGUAGGGAAUCUUCCGCAAUGGGCGGAAGCCUGACGGAGCAACGCCGCGUGAGAGAUGAAGGUCUUCGGAUCGUAAAACUCUGUUAUGAGUGAAGAACAUAUGUGUAAGUAACUGUACACAUCUUGACGGUACCUAAUCAGAAAGCCACGGCUAACUACGUG
Molecule: ribosomal RNA, 497 nt
Filed under: uncultured bacterium
Lineage: Bacteria
Description: partial 16S ribosomal RNA
Rfam family: Bacterial small subunit ribosomal RNA
Source: RNAcentral